This 115-nucleotide non-coding RNA is filed under the name Thalassobacillus devorans. RNAcentral describes it as "SAM riboswitch (S box leader)". It matches the Rfam family "SAM riboswitch aptamer (S box leader)". Rfam says of the family: The SAM riboswitch is found upstream of a number of genes which code for proteins involved in methionine or cysteine biosynthesis in Gram-positive bacteria. The SAM riboswitch acts at the level of transcription termination control. The record is from RNAcentral. Lineage: Bacteria; Bacillati; Bacillota; Bacilli; Caryophanales; Bacillaceae.
CCUUAUCGCGAGCAGGGGAGGAAAUUGGUCCCGUGAACCUGCAGCAACCUGUUAUUUUCUCGAAGAAAAUAAUAAGGUGCUACGUCCAACAGACGCUGUUGUCUGAAAGAUGAGG